Molecule: long non-coding RNA, 1480 nt
Filed under: Coturnix japonica (Japanese quail)
Lineage: Eukaryota; Metazoa; Chordata; Aves; Galliformes; Phasianidae
Description: lncRNA (ENSCJPG00005017142.1)
Source: RNAcentral
GUGCGCGGCGCGGAGCAGCUGUUCUUCGUGCCCGCGCUGGGUCUUACUGCCCCUAAAAUGGCCCCGCCGAAGUUUUAACACAGUCAGCGGGGGCCGGCGCCGGGACUUGCGCCGCCUCAUUAGCAUUUAAAGGGGCCGCACUGAGCUCGCGGCUGCACCGAGUGAGAGGGGGGACGGCGUGGGGAUCGGUCACGGUGAGGUGAGGGGUGCGCACCGUACACGGGUGAGUGUGUCAGUGCUGUGUACAGGUGGCCGUGUGUGCCACAAGAGUGCGGGUGUGAACGCCGAGCUUGUGUGUGUGUGUGUGUGUGCCUGGAACAGGCUGCCCAGGGAGGUUGUGGAUGCCCCGUCCUUGGAGGUGUUCAAGACCAGGUUGGACAGGGCCCUGGGCAACCUGAUCUAGUAAAUGUGUAUGUUUGGUGGCCCUGCCAGGCAGGGGGGUUGGAACUACAUGAUCCUUGAGGUCCCUUCCAACCCAGGUCAUUCUGUGAUUCUGUGUGUGCGUGUGGAGCUGAGCGCCGCGAGUGCAUGCCCGUCUGCGUGGGUACCCGCAGGAACCCCGCUGUGCGUGGGGUUGUGUAUAGAUAGAUACAUACGCACACACGACUGCAGUCGAGAGUCCGAGAUGUCAGUAGGCUCGUGGCCGUGUAUUGCUGCUUGCUCCCACCCGUGUGCAGACAAACCCGCUUCUGUGCUCUGGCGGCGGUGCCUGUGAAUGCGCCUCUGCCCCGUGCUCUGUAUGGCGGAUCAGUUCGUUCUGGACCCGAGUUCGCGUGCGCUCCGUUGGAGACAAACGUCUAGAGAUGAGGUUACUGAUUCUUCCAGUGUUCCAUGUGGGCUUCUCAGGGAAUUGCAAUCCAUGUUUUGGAUCCCCCAGUUUUGGAAAAUAAACACAUUCAAGGCUGAAGAACUGACUUCAAAAUGGAAAACAUUCAUCUUCCCAGGUCUAGUUGGAAAUUGUUCAUAUAUACAUCAUGGAGUCCAUGAACAAAAGGGACAAGGGGUAAGAGAAUGUGUGAAAAGCCAGAAAAAUCAGGAGAGCAGGAAUGAGUGUCACUUAAGGCUCCAGGAUAUUCCUGAAGUAAAAGGUAAGGAGAGUGCAGAGAAGGAGGAGGAAUCAAACAGUCUCCAGGGAAAGCUAAAGGGAAAAAGAGCAAAGGAGAGUGGCAGCUUUCUAGUGUCAGAUUUACAGUCAUGUUAUAUAUAACAUAUGUAAUGUGUAUAUAACCAGUGACCAGGCAACCUUGUUUUAAUGAUUCCGUGACUGAUAGGUCACUUCCCCCUCAAACUGAAUCUAAGAACCAUGUGGUUGAGAGCAGGAUCAGACCAAAGGUUGUUAGAUUUGCCUUAAAUAGUCUAGUGGGCUCAUUGUCAAAACCACAAGUCAGUGUGCAGAGUUCUCAGUAAACAGCAAAGUAGUCACUUCAAUUUUUAGAAGUUAGUUACUUCUCACUUUAAAUAAACUACUUUAUCUCCUUCA